UUUAAGCGCAGCCAUGAGUUUCCGUGUCCAAUUUUAAUCGUCCGUCUUAUUUAAAAAUUUUUCAUGAUUAAUAUUUUUAUUGUUAUUAGAUAAUAAAACACGAAUAUUACUUUAUGUGUGACUUAUGUUUUAAUAUUUUUUAAAAAAGUUUUAAUAAGAUAAACGAUUGAAGUUGAACACGGAAACUCAUGGCUACGUUUAAA
Molecule: microRNA precursor, 203 nt
Organism: Oryza rufipogon (brownbeard rice)
Lineage: Eukaryota; Viridiplantae; Streptophyta; Magnoliopsida; Poales; Poaceae
Rfam family: MIR812 microRNA precursor family
Source: Rfam